This 846-nucleotide ribosomal RNA is filed under the name Aquimarina sp. AU474_Ted3_MB20SE. RNAcentral's name for it is "bacterial SSU rRNA". It matches the Rfam family "Bacterial small subunit ribosomal RNA", at positions 60 to 902 of the family's 1533-position model. The record is from RNAcentral. Lineage: Bacteria; Pseudomonadati; Bacteroidota; Flavobacteriia; Flavobacteriales; Flavobacteriaceae.
AGUCGAGGGGUAACAGAGAGUGCUUGCACUUUGCUGACGACCGGCGCACGGGUGCGUAACGCGUAUAGAAUCUACCUUUUAGUGAGGGAUAGCCCAGAGAAAUUUGGAUUAAUACCUCAUAGUAUCAAUGAAUAGCAUUAUUUAUUGAUUAAAGAUUUAUUGCUAAAAGAUGACUAUGCGUUCUAUUAGCUAGUUGGUAUGGUAACGGCAUACCAAGGCUACGAUAGAUAGGGGUCCUGAGAGGGAGAUCCCCCACACUGGUACUGAGACACGGACCAGACUCCUACGGGAGGCAGCAGUGAGGAAUAUUGGACAAUGGAGGCAACUCUGAUCCAGCCAUGCCGCGUGUAGGAAGACUGCCCUAUGGGUUGUAAACUACUUUUAUAGAGGAAGAAACCGCUCUACGUGUAGAGCUCUGACGGUACUCUACGAAUAAGGAUCGGCUAACUCCGUGCCAGCAGCCGCGGUAAUACGGAGGAUCCAAGCGUUAUCCGGAAUCAUUGGGUUUAAAGGGUCCGUAGGCGGUUUAGUAAGUCAGUGGUGAAAGUUUUCGGCUCAACCGGAAAAUUGCCAUUGAUACUGCUAGACUUGAAUUAUUGUGAAGUGGUUAGAAUGUGUAGUGUAGCGGUGAAAUGCAUAGAUAUUACACAGAAUACCGAUUGCGAAGGCAGAUCACUAACAAUAUAUUGACGCUAAGGGACGAAAGCGUGGGUAGCGAACAGGAUUAGAUACCCUGGUAGUCCACGCCGUAAACGAUGGUUACUAGCUGUUCGAACUUCGGUUUGAGUGGCUAAGCGAAAGUGAUAAGUAACCCACCUGGGGAGUACGUUCGCAAGAAUGAAACUC